UACGGAGGGUGCAAGCGUUAAUCGGAAUUACUGGGCGUAAAGCGUGCGCAGGUGGCGAUGCAAGACAGAUGUGAAAUCCCCGAGCUCAACCUGAUAACUGCAUUUGAGACUACAUGGCUAGAGUACGGUAGAGGGGGAUGGAAUUCCGCGUGUAGCAGUGAAAUGCGUAGAUAUGCGGAGGAACACCGAUGGCGAAGGCAAUCCCCUGGGCCUGUACUGACGCUCAUGCACGAAAGCGUGGGGAGCAAACAGG
This 253-nucleotide ribosomal RNA is filed under the name uncultured bacterium. RNAcentral's name for it is "partial 16S ribosomal RNA". It matches the Rfam family "Bacterial small subunit ribosomal RNA", at positions 524 to 776 of the family's 1533-position model. The record is from RNAcentral.